UACGUAGGGACCAAGCGUUGUUCGGAUUUACUGGGCGUAAAGGGCGCGUAGGCGGCGCGACAAGUCACUUGUGAAAUCUCUGGGCUUAACUCAGAACGGCCAAGUGAAACUGUUGUGCUAGAGUGCAGAAGGGGCAAUCGGAAUUCUCGGUGUAGCGGUGAAAUGCGUAGAUAUCGUCAAGAACACCGAUAGUGAAGACAGCUCACUAAGCUCAAACUGACGCUGAGGCACGAAAGUGUGGGGAUCAAACAGG
Molecule: ribosomal RNA, 253 nt
Filed under: uncultured bacterium
Lineage: Bacteria
Description: partial 16S ribosomal RNA
Rfam family: Bacterial small subunit ribosomal RNA
Source: RNAcentral